AGGGAUAUUGGUCAAUGGGGGAAACCCUGAACCAGCAACGCCGCGUGAGGGAAGACGGUUUUCGGAUUGUAAACCUCUGUCCUCUGUGAAGAUAAUGACGGUAGCAGAGGAGGAAGCUCCGGCUAACUACGUGCCAGCAGCCGCGGUAAUACGUAGGGAGCAAGCGUUAUCCGGAUUUAUUGGGUUUAAAGGGUGCGUAGGCGGGCUUUUAAGUCAGCGGUAAAAAUUCGGGGCUCAACCCCGUCCGGCCGUUGAAACUGGGGGCCUUGAGUGGGCGAGAAGAAGGCGGAAUGCGUGGUGUAGCGGUGAAAUGCAUAGAUAUCACGCAGAACCCCGAUUGCGAAGGCAGCCUUCCGGCGCCCUACUGACGCUGAGGCACGAAAGUGCGGGGAUCGAACAGG
RNAcentral lists this ribosomal RNA (401 nucleotides) under uncultured bacterium. Its description in RNAcentral is "bacterial SSU rRNA". It matches the Rfam family "Bacterial small subunit ribosomal RNA", at positions 357 to 776 of the family's 1533-position model. The record is from RNAcentral.